UACGGAGGGUGCAAGCGUUAUUCGGAAUUAUUGGGCGUAAAGCGCAUGUAGGUGGUUUGCUAAGUCUGAUGUGAAAUCCCUGGACUCAAUCCAGGAAGUGCAUUGGAUACUGGCAGACUAGAGUGCAGGAGAGGAAAGCGGAAUUCCAGGUGUAGAGGUGAAAUUCGUAGAUAUCUGGAGGAACAACAGAAGCGAAGGCGGCUUUCUGGACUGCAACUGACACUGAGAUGCGAAAGCGUGGGUAGCAAACAGG
RNAcentral lists this ribosomal RNA (253 nucleotides) under uncultured bacterium. Its description in RNAcentral is "partial 16S ribosomal RNA". It matches the Rfam family "Bacterial small subunit ribosomal RNA", at positions 524 to 776 of the family's 1533-position model. The record is from RNAcentral.